RNAcentral lists this unclassified non-coding RNA (200 nucleotides) under soil metagenome. RNAcentral's name for it is "partial contains internal transcribed spacer 2 and large subunit ribosomal RNA". The record is from RNAcentral.
AUAAACAAACAGCUCGUCUGAAAUGCCUGAGUGUACCCCCGCUUUUGCGGCGUAUUCGGUGUGAUAAAUCUUCACCGGAGUUGAUCCCUUUAUGGGGUCGCGUCUGUAAUGGUGUGGCUCUAUGCUUCGAACCGUCUUCUAUCGAGACAAAUCUCUGACAAUUUGACCUCAAAUCGGGUGGGACUACCCGCUGAACUUAA